AUCUAGUUAAUGAGUCCAGAAUAGGACGAAACGCGAGUACUGGAU
Schistosoma mattheei is the source of this 45-nucleotide non-coding RNA. NCBI's taxonomy places the organism in Eukaryota, Metazoa, Platyhelminthes, Trematoda, Strigeidida, Schistosomatidae. The record is from Rfam.